Non-coding RNA from Thalassolituus sp. HI0120, 153 nucleotides. Lineage: Bacteria; Pseudomonadati; Pseudomonadota; Gammaproteobacteria; Oceanospirillales; Oceanospirillaceae. The record is from Rfam.
AACUAUCCCAGGGGGUGGCCUGCCGUUAGUUUGGCCUGAGAUGCUGAGGUUUUUCCAAAAACGUUUUCAAGUGAGUGAUACGUUUGGUUAAACAGCAAACUCCUUGAACCUGAUCCGGUUAAUACCGGCGUAGGAAUGGGGAAGCUAAGGCUA